RNAcentral lists this ribosomal RNA (497 nucleotides) under uncultured bacterium. RNAcentral's name for it is "partial 16S ribosomal RNA". It matches the Rfam family "Bacterial small subunit ribosomal RNA", at positions 28 to 507 of the family's 1533-position model. The record is from RNAcentral.
GAUGAACGCUGGCGGCGUGCCUAAUACAUGCAAGUCGAGCGAACAGACGAGGAGCUUGCUCCUCUGACGUUAGCGGCGGACGGGUGAGUAACACGUGGAUAACCUACCUAUAAGACUGGGAUAACUUCGGGAAACCGGAGCUAAUACCGGAUAAUAUAUUGAACCGCAUGGUUCAAUAGUGAAAGACGGUUUUGCUGUCACUUAUAGAUGGAUCCGCGCCGCAUUAGCUAGUUGGUAAGGUAACGGCUUACCAAGGCAACGAUGCGUAGCCGACCUGAGAGGGUGAUCGGCCACACUGGAACUGAGACACGGUCCAGACUCCUACGGGGGGCAGCAGUAGGGAAUCUUCCGCAAGGGGCGAAAGCUUGACGGAGCAACGCCGCGUGAGUGAUGAAGGUCUUCGGAUCGUAAAACUCUGUUAUUAGGGAAGAACAAAUGUGUAAGUAACUAUGCACGUCUUGACGGUACCUAAUCAGAAAGCCACGGCUAACUACGUG